GCGGAAGCUGCGGCUGGAUCACCUCCUUUCUAGGGAGAUUUCUCUAGAACGUCGACCGGGCUCCCCAUCGGCUGUAUGUCGAUGGGAACGCUGCUCAGUUUUGAGAGACCGCUCGUGGAGAACCCACGGCGUGUGCCUCGGUGGACCUUGAAAACCGCACAAGACCAAUAUUUAUAUGGGUAAUUUAAUUUAGCGACCGUACGCUUAGGUGUGCGGUUGCUCACCGUCAAGAUGUUAAGAGCUUAC
This 246-nucleotide unclassified non-coding RNA is filed under the name uncultured bacterium. Its description in RNAcentral is "partial may contain 16S ribosomal RNA, 16S-23S ribosomal RNA intergenic spacer, and 23S ribosomal RNA". The record is from RNAcentral.